Molecule: long non-coding RNA, 302 nt
Organism: Tripterygium wilfordii
Lineage: Eukaryota; Viridiplantae; Streptophyta; Magnoliopsida; Celastrales; Celastraceae
Exons: 3
Source: RefSeq, a predicted model, not a curated record
UUCACCCGUGAGUUAAAAAAAAAAGAAAGCGAAAGGGCAGCCACCAUUUUUCACUCCACCACCUCCGGUCAGCCACUUCCGACGGCAUUCCGGCGACUUUUCUGGCCAGUAAAGGUGCUCCAACCUUGAAAUCUACAACCACACUAAGAAAGAGAAGGAUUAAGGUACAAGUGGGGUUCUUGAACCAAUUCAAGAGAAAGCUUGAAAUUCUUGAGUUGGUGGAACUAACAAGGUUCAAGGUUAGCGAAUUGGCGUGAAGUAUACGUUGCUUCUUGGUGAGGAUUGCGUGUUUACUUCGAGGU